This 577-nucleotide ribosomal RNA is filed under the name uncultured bacterium. Its description in RNAcentral is "bacterial SSU rRNA". It matches the Rfam family "Bacterial small subunit ribosomal RNA", at positions 338 to 916 of the family's 1533-position model. The record is from RNAcentral.
CCUACGGGAGGCAGCAGUGAGGAAUAUUGGACAAUGGGCGCAAGCCUGAUCCAGCCAUGCCGCGUGCAGGAAGACGGUCCUAUGGAUUGUAAACUGCUUUUGUACAGGAAGAAACACUCCCUCGUGAGGGAGCUUGACGGUACUGUAAGAAUAAGGAUCGGCUAACUCCGUGCCAGCAGCCGCGGUAAUACGGAGGAUCCAAGCGUUAUCCGGAAUCAUUGGGUUUAAAGGGUCCGUAGGCGGUUUAAUAAGUCAGUGGUGAAAUCUGGUCGCUCAACGAUCAAACGGCCAUUGAUACUGUUAGACUUGAAUUAUUAGGAAGUAACUAGAAUAUGUAGUGUAGCGGUGAAAUGCUUAGAUAUUACAUGGAAUACCAAUUGCGAAGGCAGGUUACUACUAAUGGAUUGACGCUGAUGGACGAAAGCGUGGGGAGCGAACAGGAUUAGAUACCCUGGUAGUCCACGCCGUAAACGAUGGAUACUAGCUGUUGGGCGCAAGUUCAGUGGCUAAGCGAAAGUGAUAAGUAUCCGACCUGGGGAGUAACGUUGCAAGAAUGAAACUUCAAAGGAAUUGACGG